AUUGAACGCUGGCGGCAGGCCUAAUACAUGCAAGUCGAACGGUAACAGGAAGACGCUCGCUUCUUUGUUGAUGAGUGGCGGACGGGUGAGUCAUGUGUGAGCAACUGCCUGACGGAGGGGGACAAUUACUGGAAACGGUAGCUAAUACCGAAUAACGUCGCAAGCAUAACGUGGGGGUCAUUGGGGCAUUUUGCCAUCGGCCGUGUCCAGAUGGGUUUUAUUAGUGGGUGGGGUAACGGCUGACCUAGCAGACGAACCCUACCUGGUCUGCGAGGAGGACCGGCCACACUGGAACUGGAACACGGCCCGAGCUCCUACGGGGGCCAGCGUAGGGGAAUAUUGCACAAGGGGGGCAAGCCUGAUGCAGCCAUGCGGCGUGGAUGAGGAGGGCCUUCGGGUUGUAAAGUACUUUCAGCGGGGAGGAAGGGAGUAAAGGUAAUACCUUUACUCAUUGACGUUACCCGCAGAAGAAGCGCCGGCUAACUCCGUG
Molecule: ribosomal RNA, 490 nt
Filed under: uncultured bacterium
Lineage: Bacteria
Description: partial 16S ribosomal RNA
Rfam family: Bacterial small subunit ribosomal RNA
Source: RNAcentral